GAAAUUGUGGAGUGGGGAUACUGGGUUUCCUGAGGUGACAACAAAGUCGAGCGUUCGACCGAUCUUAAUAGUUAAUGGCUCAGUCUCGCUACGAAUUUCGACGAGUACGCAUCGUAGUUCUCGUAGUACACAUUAUCCACAAAAUGAAAUUGUGGAGUGGGGAUACUGGGCUUCCUGAGAUGACAACAAAGUCGAGCGUUCGACCGAUUUUAAUAGUUAAUGACUCAGUCUCGCUACAAAUUUCGACGAGUACGCAUCGUAGUUCUCGUAGUACACAUUAUCCACAAAAUGAAAUUGUGGAGUGGGGAUACUGGGCUUCCUGAGAUGACAACAAAGUCGAGCGUUCGACCGAUUUUAAUAGUUAAUGACUCAGUCUCGCUACAAAUUUCGACGAGUACGCAUCGUAGUUCUCGUAGUACACAUUAUCCACAAAAUGAAAUUGUGGAGUGGGGAUACUGGGCUUCCUGAGAUGACAACAAAGUCGAGCGUUCGACCGAUUUUAAUAGUUAAUGACUCAGUCUCGCUACAAAUUUCGACGAGUACGCAUCGUAGUUCUCGUAGUACACAUUAUCCACAAAAUGAAAUUGUGGAGUGGGGAUACUGGGCUUCCUGAGAUGACAACAAAGUCGAGCGUUCGACCGAUUUUAAUAGUUAAUGGCUCAGUCUCGCUACGAAUUUCGACGAGUACGCAUCGUAGUUUUCGUAGUACACAUUAUCCACAAGUAAUAACAAAGAGUUAAUGCAAGUAUAUUAUUAUCACUCAUUCUUUCAAUAUUCUACACGAUUUAUUUCGUUUCACAAUGAAAUUGUGGAGUGGGGAUACUGGGUUUCCUGAGGUGACAACAAAGUCGAGCGUUCGACCGAUCUUAAUAGUUAAUGGCUCAGUCUCGCUACGAAUUUCGACGAGUACGCAUCGUAGUUCUCGUAGUACACAUUAUCCACAAAAUGAAAUUGUGGAGUGGGGAUACUGGGCUUCCUGAGAUGACAACAAAGUCGAGCGUUCGACCGAUUUUAAUAGUUAAUGACUCAGUCUCGCUACAAAUUUCGACGAGUACGCAUCGUAGUUCUCGUAGUACACAUUAUCCACAAAAUGAAAUUGUGGAGUGGGGAUACUGGGCUUCCUGAGAUGACAACAAAGUCGAGCGUUCGACCGAUUUUAAAAGUUAAUGGCUCAGUCUUGCUACGAAUUUCGGCGAGUACACACUGUCGUCCUCAUAGUACACAUUCUCCA
RNA transcript from Vespula vulgaris, 1231 nucleotides. RefSeq lists it as uncharacterized. The transcript is spliced from 7 exons. Lineage: Eukaryota; Metazoa; Arthropoda; Insecta; Hymenoptera; Vespidae. The record is from RefSeq and is a predicted model, not a curated record.